This 346-nucleotide ribosomal RNA is filed under the name uncultured soil bacterium. Its description in RNAcentral is "bacterial SSU rRNA". It matches the Rfam family "Bacterial small subunit ribosomal RNA", at positions 26 to 372 of the family's 1533-position model. The record is from RNAcentral.
AGAUUGAACGCUGGCGGCAGGCCUAACACAUGCAAGUCGAGCGGUAGAGAGGUGCUUGCACCUCUUGAGAGCGGCGGACGGGUGAGUAAUGCCUAGGAAUCUGCCUAGUGGUGGGGGAUAACGUUCGGAAACGGACGCUAUUACCGCAUACGUCCUACGGGAGAAAGCGGGGGACCUUCGGGCCUCGCGCCAUUAGAUGAGCCUAGGUCGGAUUAGCUAGUUGGUGAGGUAAUGGCUCACCAAGGCGACGAUCCGUAACUGGUCUGAGAGGAUGAUCAGUCACACUGGAACUGAGACACGGUCCAGACUCCGUACGGGAGGCGGCAGUGGGGGAAUAUUGGACAAU